RNAcentral lists this ribosomal RNA (253 nucleotides) under uncultured bacterium. RNAcentral's name for it is "partial 16S ribosomal RNA". It matches the Rfam family "Bacterial small subunit ribosomal RNA", at positions 524 to 776 of the family's 1533-position model. The record is from RNAcentral.
UACGUAGGGUGCAAGCGUUAAUCGGAAUUACUGGGCGUAAAGCGUGCGCAGGCGGUGAUGUAAGACAGUUGUGAAAUCCCCGGGCUUAACCUGGGAACUGCAUUUGUGACUGCAUGGCUAGAGUGUGUCAGAGGGAGGUGGAAUUCCGCGUGUAGUAGUGAAAUGCGUAGAGAUGCGGAGGAACACCGAUGGCGAGGGCAGCCUCCUGGGAUAACACUGACGCUCAGGCACGAAAGCGUGGGGAGCAAACAGG